This 253-nucleotide ribosomal RNA is filed under the name uncultured bacterium. Its description in RNAcentral is "partial 16S ribosomal RNA". It matches the Rfam family "Bacterial small subunit ribosomal RNA", at positions 524 to 776 of the family's 1533-position model. The record is from RNAcentral.
UACAGAGGUCCCAAGCGUUGUUCGGAUUCAUUGGGCGUAAAGGGUGCGUAGGCGGCGCGGGAAGUCGGGUGUGAAAUCUCGGAGCUUAACUCCGAAACUGCAUUCGAUACUGCGGUGCUUGAGGACUGGAGAGGAGACUGGAAUUCAUGGUGUAGCAGUGAAAUGCGUAGAGAUCAUGAGGAAGACCAGUGGCGAAGGCGGGUCUCUGGACAGUUCCUGACACUGAGACACGAAGGCCAGGGGAGCAAACGGG